This 1668-nucleotide long non-coding RNA is filed under the name Mytilus galloprovincialis (Mediterranean mussel). The record is from RNAcentral. Lineage: Eukaryota; Metazoa; Mollusca; Bivalvia; Mytilida; Mytilidae.
CACAUCCUAGGGAAAACAUUUCUGAAAAAUUAACGAUAAAUAACAACUGCUCCCUUUCUACGAAUUAAAACGUUCUUAUCUGACUCAAGGGAUAUUUAUUUUAAAAAGAAUGUCUUCUUUUACAAUAAUUUCAAGUUAAACUAUUUGAAAUACUAGUAUACUAAUUGGUUAACCCUACAAGGCGAACUGCCAUAAAGUAUAUAUGGACAUCCUUUAUUUGUAAGUCUGACAAUAUAAAAUGGUUUGAUAAAUUCGCUUUCAUUUGAAUGACCAUUCAUCUCUUUCCUACAAUAUACAAAGUUGAAGCAUUGCAUGAUGUUGUUUAUUAGCACGUGUAAUUUUCUUCUACCGGAGAUUCAUAAAUUCUUCAGAAAUAGACAAGACGCACGCGAUAUUUUCUUUAUAUAAUUACAACAAAUUACCCCUAUACGCGCGAAAGCCGUAUUACACAGCUUGUUCAUCAUGCUCAACCGUCAAUAGGCUCACAAUUUAUGAUAUUUAUAGAUGAUAAGUUCAUUUGUGUUCGGAGUUCAUAAACAAGGACAUGGAUUUUGUUUUUGAAAAAGGGGGGGGGGUGUCAUUUCUUUAUUAUUCAUUUUUUAAAACAAUAUUUCUCUUUUCUUUAUUAAUUUUGCACAUUAUUCUCUAUUCCUUUCAUUUUAGUACCCUGUUAUUCUCUAUUGUUUAUAUUAUUUUGUAUUAUGCAUUGUAUGCUCAUUAUUCUCUAUUCUGUAAACCCCAUCUAGAUCUUCAUAAACAUCACUCAUGUAUAGCAUAUUUUGUAUUAUUUUUUAUCAUUUAGGGAAGACAAGGACAGGAAAAAUAAGACACAGAACGAGUUAGAGCUUGAUAUACUAUAAAAAAACGAAUACUGUGGAUUCAUUUAUUUUCGUGGGUACCAAUUUUCGGUCUAUAGCGGGCUACCGCGGGUCUCGACGACUGCGGGUUAGGUAGGUGGUCGCCCUUUGGCGGGGAUACUUUGGAUUCAUUUAUUUUCGUGGGUACCAAUUUUCGUGGAUUGAUGAAGACUUGCGUUCUUGUAAACAUUGGAUUUUGUUGCUUUGGCAAAGUUUAAAUACAUUCCUUUAGAAGCAUUACAAUUCGUUGAACUUUCAAAUUCGUUGUUCCCCAGUACCAACGAAAUCCACGAAAAUUUGUAUCCUACAAAAAUUAAUGAUUCCACAUUAUGUAACAAUUUAAAUAGACUAGGAUGCUCGGUCUGUUUUCAUGUCAAAGGUCGUGGUUUAACUGGGUACUGUGGGUUCCUCUACCAAUCAAAACUGACCGCCGUGAAAUAGUCCAUAGAACUGAAUGUCAAACAGAAACAUUGACAAAAGAUAUACAACUUAAGAAAAAAAAAACCUCACACUUAAACACAGAAAUUGCAUGAACAUUUGGUUUCAAGUCAGCUGAUAAUCCUGAAAGAGGAUAAUGGGUUUAUGGGGGGGGGGGGGGUGUAAGGGUAAGGACAUUUUAAUUGUCAACAUUAAAACAAUUUGAAACCUUUUAUAUGUCGAAAUAUUGAUAAUUCUAGUUUAAGCUGACCUGUUCACUAUUUUUAACCGUGCAAUUGUCAUUGAAGUUAUAUUAUAUCGCUUUUCGUUUAUUGUUUGUUAAAAUUAAAAUGACCCUUAUUACAUUAGCUACAUUUGGAUCAUAUUAAUAUUU